ACAGUGAUGAAGAGGGGUUCGACCGAUA
Molecule: small RNA, 28 nt
Filed under: Bombyx mori (domestic silkworm)
Lineage: Eukaryota; Metazoa; Arthropoda; Insecta; Lepidoptera; Bombycidae
Description: ovarian small RNA-11130
Source: RNAcentral